UCGCAGGGGUGCCGACGGCUGAGAUCACAAUUAGAUUUGUGAAACCCUUUCACCUGAUCCGGAUAAUGCCGGCGUAGGGAGCUAUGUA
This 88-nucleotide non-coding RNA is filed under the name bovine gut metagenome. RNAcentral's name for it is "TPP riboswitch (THI element)". It matches the Rfam family "TPP riboswitch aptamer (THI element)", at positions 9 to 90 of the family's 105-position model. From Rfam's summary of the family: Vitamin B(1) in its active form thiamin pyrophosphate (TPP) is an essential coenzyme that is synthesised by coupling of pyrimidine and thiazole moieties in bacteria. The previously detected thiamin-regulatory element, thi box was extended, resulting in a new, highly conserved RNA secondary structure, the THI element, which is widely distributed in eubacteria and also occurs in some archaea. The record is from RNAcentral.